UAACACAUAAUUUCACCUGCUCCAUAACUUUUAGCUCCUCUGAACUAAAGUACACGGCCUCCAUAAUUCAAUAUAUGGUAAAAUUUCAUCAAUUUCUUUUCUUAUAUAAUAUGUACCGCGGAAACUGUGGGUGAUGAAACCUAUGUUUGUUCUGGAUUUUGGUUCAGAAGAGUAUAAAGGUUAUGGACCAGUUGAAAUUUUGCAUGGAGGAAAAAAAAGUUGGAAAUGGUCGACCUGUGUUCUUUUUUUCAAAGUAACGAAAAAAAACACUUUAAGAAAGUCAGAAUGACGAAAUAUGCCGUCAAUAAGGAAAGUCAGAAGAAAAAACCUUUUAUAAGUUUGUAACACCCUGUAAUGAUUUCAAGAAUGAUUCGAUUUUGUUUGGAAAUAUGAACCUAUAUUAAGAGUUUUUUAAAUGUAACAUUUAUUAUUUAAUUUAAUUUUUUUUUUAGGUUGAACUGGAUGAAUAUGGAAAUGUUCUUGAGCUUAAAUUGGCAGACUUUGGGCUAGCCUGUGAAGUUACGGAACCACUCUAUGCCGUUUGUGGAACUCCCACGUAUGUGGCGCCGGAGAUAUUGCUGGAAGUGGGGUAUGGGUUAAAGAUUGAUGUUUGGGCCGCUGGUAUUAUUUUGUAUAUACUUUUAUGUGGAUUCCCACCGUUUGUAGCACCAGAUAACCAACAAGAGCCUCUUUUUGACGCUAUCAUAUCGGGCGUCUACGAGUUUCCCGACCCUUAUUGGUCAGAUAUUGGUGAUGGAGUCCGCGAUCUUAUCGCUAAUAUGUUGCAAUCCGAUCCUGCGGUUCGUUUUACAAGCGAAGAUAUCUUGGAUCACUAUUGGACUAUGAACAACGAGAAUAGCUGUUUCUUCAGCAGAUGAAUUAUGGCCGUUUCGGAUGUUUUUAAAACUUCACUACCAUUCCCGACAAAUUUUAUGAUGCAGUCCAGUAGUUUUUAUGUUAUGUAUAUUAUAACGCUAUUAUUUAUAAAUUAAUUUAUUUGUUUUUUGAUAAAAUCAGGAAGUUAUCUGUUGAUAACUAUUAAGACACGUUUAUCAGAAAACUUAAGCAGCCUAAAACUUAUAUAAGCUACCGUACGAUUUUUUAAAAUUCCAAUAUUCAAGUCAAUAACCAUUGGCCUGAGUUUUCUAAAUUAGUUUUCUUAUGUGGUUAUAUUCAUAUAUUCAUAUAUGUUUCAUAUGUUUAUUUGAAAUAUUAAGGAUUCCAUCAAAAACCAUUCACAACUACAAUUUAGAAGUGUUCAAUUUCAAUUCAGAUUAUUCUAUUGAUUUAUCUGUGAAAUAAAUCGGAUAAACUAUAUUUGGCAUAUAAAUAAAGACGACCGAAAUAUA
This is a long non-coding RNA of Drosophila ananassae, 1349 nucleotides long. RefSeq lists it as uncharacterized. The record is from RefSeq and is a predicted model, not a curated record. Lineage: Eukaryota; Metazoa; Arthropoda; Insecta; Diptera; Drosophilidae. The transcript is spliced from 2 exons.